UGAGAAAGCCCAGGAGAGC
RNAcentral lists this unclassified non-coding RNA (19 nucleotides) under Mus musculus (house mouse). RNAcentral describes it as "oocyte_clustered_small_RNA6453". The record is from RNAcentral. Lineage: Eukaryota; Metazoa; Chordata; Mammalia; Rodentia; Muridae.